Molecule: ribosomal RNA, 400 nt
Filed under: uncultured bacterium
Lineage: Bacteria
Description: bacterial SSU rRNA
Rfam family: Bacterial small subunit ribosomal RNA
Source: RNAcentral
GAUGAACGCUAGCUACAGGCUUAACACAUGCAAGUCGAGGGGCAUCGGGAAGAAAGCUUGCUUUCUUUGCCGGCGACCGGCGCACGGGUGAGUAACACGUAUCCAACCUGCCCUUUACUCGGGGAUAGCCUUUCGAAAGAAAGAUUAAUACCCGAUGGCGUAAUGAUUCCGCAUGGUUUCAUUAUUAAAGGAUUCCGGUAAAGGAUGGGGAUGCGUUCCAUUAGGUUGUUGGUGGGGGUAAACGUCCGACCCAACGACCGUUCCGUACGUAGUAGUAAGGGUUACGGGUUCGUAGGAAGGGAAAGGGGUAACCCCCCGGUACCCCCCAAUUAGGUUAACGGUAACGUAGGAACGAACCGGUACCCGGUAAACCCUAAACCCUUACCCGGGUAACGGGGAC